AAAUUCUCAAACUCUUUUUCCACGAAACACAAAAACAUGAACAACAAACACCACUUUGAUGUAAAAAACGAUUGCUCCCGAACUACUAGGCACUCAUGAAAAUUAGGAAUGAUGAAAAAAUGCAAAACUAUAAAAAAUACCUUGACGAUUUGUUGUUUUCCAAACAUCAAUAAUUACUUGCAAUAACAAGUAAUAUGUGCCGCUACAUGAAAGAAAAUGUUCGCUACUUAGGACUGGUUUGACAAACGAAACAAUUAGUCAUAUUUGAGAAGCCAAUGGUUGGCCAUUGAAGCUGGGUGCACGCUGAUUUCACAUACGUAUUUAUAUUAACGAGAAAUAUUAAAAAUUGUAACAAACUGAUAUAAACUGUUCGAUAUUAACUGAUCCAGUCCAACUAAAUAAAGUACUUAUGAAGCUUUAAAAUAUUUCUCAUUUGGAUUUGGCACUGACAUAAAGAAAAAUUUAUUUAUAUUAAUACUACAGAAGAGCGGGAAAUUGAUAACAAAGAUUUUUUAAGUUAAACAUGAUAAUGUAAGAAAGCUCAUAACUACUAUUUCGUGCAAUUGUGAAAUAAAAUUUCUUUAUAAUUACUCUGCUUAUAUUUGCAUAUUACAAUAAGUCUGAAAUUAGUUAAAUAAAUCCAAGUGAUACACCCUGUGCUGGAGAAGUUUCAAUCUAAACUACUUUGACUUAAUUGUUGAUUUUCAUGAGGGCGUUUAGUUAGUUUUAACUUUAAGGUAC
This is a non-coding RNA of Bactrocera oleae (olive fruit fly), 741 nucleotides long. The record is from RefSeq and is a predicted model, not a curated record. NCBI's taxonomy places the organism in Eukaryota, Metazoa, Arthropoda, Insecta, Diptera, Tephritidae.